Molecule: long non-coding RNA, 5373 nt
Organism: Polyodon spathula (Mississippi paddlefish)
Lineage: Eukaryota; Metazoa; Chordata; Actinopteri; Acipenseriformes; Polyodontidae
Exons: 4
Source: RefSeq, a predicted model, not a curated record
UCGGGUUAUUAUCUCAUCAGCACUGUACAGUCAGUGAAUGUUGCAAAAUAUCCAAAGAAUUAUUUUGAUAAUAUAACCACUGUAGAAACAAAGUGGCUGGAAAGCUGACGUAAGCUUCUCAACAGAGUUGGAGAAAGAAGGAAGAAUAAUGUUCUUCAAAGUGAUAUUGACUUGUUUUUUGCUGACAGCAGGCCAACCAGCUGUCAGUGUGACAACUACAGCUUCACUGAGUGAAGCAAGCUUUGCAAAAGCUUCAGAAUAUAGAACUGUCUUUGAAUCCCCUUCAGCAUCUGUACCAUCUGCACCAAGUAUAAGCUCAGCCGCAACCAACACAUCUACAGAACCCACAACUGUAUCUACACAAAGCCCAACCACAGUUACAAAAUCCACAACAAGUCAAACUACAACCAAAAUAUCUACAAAUUCCACAGUGGCAAAAACAACAAACACAUCUACAGAAUCAACAGUGGUAAGCACGUCUUCAUCUUCUAGCACAGCCACUGCCAUAACUACAGGCAAUACUUCUGUUUCCACCGACCCUGGAGCUGUGAUCACCGGUUCUGUUACAACAACUACGUCAAAGACUGAGAUAACAUCAGAAAGCAGCUCAACUAUCGAUUCUUCUUAUAUAACAUCCAUGAAAACCUCUACUGCAGUUAUCAAUCCGACGACAACGACAACAACAAAUGUGGGAUCAACAGUAUUCAUAUCCACAACUCCUACAACAGCUGUGGUGACAACAUCAACCAUUCAUACAUCUACUGUUGAGAGUACUGUAACAUCACAUAAAGUAGAUGAAGAAAUCCCAAUUAACGCUCUCAGUUCAGGGAGUGUGAUAGCUAUUGUCAUUGCAGUUAUUGCACUUGUGCUGUUAGUGUUUGGAGCAGCCUAUCACCUUAAGAUGAGACGCUCCCCAUACGGAAGAUUUUUCGAUGACAACGACUACGGCUCAGUGGAAAACUUCAACAAUCCCCUCUAUGAGACCUCGUAAUGGAGUCAAGACACCCGAUGACUUAACUGCAAACUGCUGUGAUAGAAAAACAGAUGAACAAACAACCACAUGGCCUGACAAACCUAAACCCUUUUUUAUAUUCUGAUCAUUUCAUUUAGAUGGAAUCAGACUAUAUGAAAUCAGUUUUUUUUCUUUUCUGUGAAUACAAAAUACAGUCUUUUUACUGCCAGUUUUAUUCACUUUGAAAUAGAAUACAGUAUUUUCUACAGUAUGCAAAAAUAAUGUCCAAUCACAGACAAGCAAGGUAACAGAUAACAGGUUUGGUAAAUGUAUGAUGCAGAGUGCUUGUGAAGGUUAUUUUGAUGACAGGACAGCUAGCAUCAGAUAUUCUUGGAUCAAGAUGCCUUUUAUUCUAUAUUUAUUUUAACUUAAUUAUAAACUGUUUUACUUCUUUCUAAUAGAUCUUGUUCUUAUGGGAUUUUAGAUAGUUCUAAUAGAUCUUGUUCUUACUGUACAAUUGCUUGGUUUUCAUAUUUGCAAAGAGUUGUGACUAUGUUUGAAUGAUUUCUUUAACUUUAUUUAACAAAACUAUUUACAACCUUUAAACACAAAAACAACAAUGUGUCAAGGAUUUCAAGUGUUUUUUAUAUUUCAAUUUGAAAUAUGCAGAUAUUUUGAAGGCAGCAGCGUCAAUGAAAAGUUACUGCUGCUAGCUGGUACCUAAUCACAUCAUGGUCUAUCAGACUAUGUGACCUACAGCAGUACUAGGAUGCAGGAGUGUAUCUAUAAGGCCUUAUUUUAAAUAUUUACAUUACAUUCUGCAAUGACAUAAAUGUCAUAUCAUCACAAUAAAAGGGGGACCAGUAAUAAUGUUAAGAAGAUGUAAAUGGCCCACAAAUAAAGAGACUGUUUAAAAUUAAUUGAUAAUGUGUCAAUAAAAUGAUAUGGUUCUCCAACAUGGUUUAAUGAGGUCCGGGUUAAUUAUUUGCUAAAUUAUUAUCUCAGAUUUUUAGAAUACAUUGCAGUAGUGUUAUUGAAAUGUUCAUAUUAAAAUUAUAUUUCUGGGCUGAAAUUUAUAAGUGACUGCAUGGUUAGAGGUCAAUAAUGUGUACAUUGUGCGCAAGUACCAUGUAAAUGUGACCUGCAGCUGUAACUUCAAGUUUGCUCCUCUAUUGUUCAUUCAUUGAUCCUGUUUUAAAGCCAUUCUUACAGACCAGGCAAAGGUCAACGCUAGUAUAACUCACAUGCAUUUACAUAUUUUUGUGAUGAAGGAGUGUGCGGAAUGCAUUGAAGCAUGUUAGCUAUGUUUUGUUGUUUUUUUAAAAAAUUUGGCACGUUUACCGUAAACGGGCAUCAUACAGGGAAGUGCAGGCAUGUGUACUUUUCCUUGCUUGUGUGUAGUGCUGCCAAAUCUGCGUUUUUUCAUUCCGUUUUGCAGGAGAGAAUGAUGCUAGACGGGUUGUCUAUUUUUGCAGGGUUUUUUUAUUUUUAUUAUUGACCAAUCAAAUCAGAAUUAAAGUAAGACCACACACAGACACAGCCCACUGCCCUGUCAAGUAUCAGCCAAGUGUGGUUUGUAUUUGUUUUUGUUUUUUUCCGUGGGAAAAUAGGCCAACAAACAUAUGCUAGAUAUUUUGAGUGAUUAAUUAAAUAAAAAAAAAAAAUACAAACCUUUCUGGGAACGAGAAGCAGACUUUAAGGUUCAGAAUUGGUCUGCUGUUGGAGCACGACCACACACAUUGCAUCUGACAGUAGUUGGCUGUUUAUCUGCAAGUAUCCUAAUACUUAUUAAUUUAUCUUAUCAUUACAAUAAAAUAAAAAAAAUAGAAAUGUUAAUCACAUUUCAACAGAUUUUUUUAAACCUUACUCAAGCUAUUAGAAGUAUCAGGAGAUACAACCAGUUGGUCGUUUUGCCACGAACCAUAGACAAGGGAUGUAAAGUUGGUUGUCUGUUGCUGAUUCCUUUUUCAUCUACUGUACUUGGAUGCUGGUUGCCUAUAGACGAUUCCUGACUGCUUUUUCAUUUAAACAUUUCAAGGAGAGAUGAAUCAAUUUCAGGUUUGCCGAUUCCUCUUUCAUUUACUUGGUUGCUGCUGAUUGCAGAUUGCUUUUUAAUUUACAGACAGUGUGCAAGAGAGACAAAUCAAUUUAAGAUUUGCCGAUUGCUUUUUCAGAGGUUUCAGAGGAAUCACACUAUACAUAGAUGAAAUUAAUGAAAUCAGCUUUAAGUAGUUUUAGCUACCUCAACAUUUUUUAGCCACCUCAGGAAAGUGACUAAUCAUACUAUACAUAGAGAAAAUAGAGAGAAUCAGCUUUAAGUGCCGUUAAGAUAAAAAUCACUUGUACAAGGUGUUACUAGUGAGACCAGACCAUGAUAUAAAAGGUAUACUGCAAUAACAAUAGUAAUAAUAAUAGUAAAAUCUGUUUAAUUUUUGCUGUGAAACAACUAAAUGGGUUUUUAAAUCGUCAAAGUCCUUAAUUUCUCAAUUAAAAGCAGAAUGAAGAACAAGAAAACGAGGGUGCAGCAUUUUAAUAAGUGACUAGUCAUUAUUAAUGUUAAUAGAAUUACGAAUACUGAUUGUAAUACAGUGUCAGCAAUUAUUUUUUUUGAUCAUAACUUUAAUAAAGAUUAGUCGCUUGCAGUGGCACUGGAACAAUUUUUAAAGUGGGGGUGCUGAAAGCCAUUAAACAAAACUGUAGCCCCUGUAUAUAAUGGAAGCAUGCAAAGCUAGGGGGUACAGUAGCACGCCCAGCACCCCUAGUUCCAGCGCCCCUAGUCACUUAUUAAAAUGUUUCACCUUCAUUUGCUUGCAGUUGUUCUGCAAGCAGGAAAACCCGUAAAUUAAACCAAUUUUACUGCUAACAAGGUUUUCCGUCGUAAUCGAGAUACAUAAAUGGCUAAACCGGGAUCAAUUGAAUUCUUAAAGGAGAAGAAAGGCUCAAAGAAAACACUAAACAACAUGAGCUUUGUAGUAGUAAUAGUCAUAGUAGUAUUGUUGCUGGGUUAUGUUUAAUGAUUUACAUACAUUGUUGUUAAUACAACUUAGUUCUGUAUUUGAGGUGUAAUACCAUCCAAUUAAACAUUACAGUACAUCACUGUUUUGUUCUUUAUAUAUAUAUAUAUUAUUUAUUUAUUUUUGUGCCUAUGAAAAGUGGUGAAUUGAGAAAACUAUGAGACAGAUACAAACACACACAUCCAACAGUGUUUCUCAAACGUGCCUAUUUCUAAACUGCUUGUAUCAAAAUCUAGAUUUGUAUUUUAUUUUAUUUUAUUUAUGAAAAAAUGUAUGUAUGUAUUUAAUAUGAAAACUAAAUGCUACAUUGUAAAUCAUAUAAUAAAUGUGAGUUUAAAAAGCACUCUGUUAUUAUUUUAUGUAUCACUUAGAUACUGUUUUUUAGUUAAUGUGUCUUGAUGAGGUUGUGCUUGUGUGUUUUUAUGUAGCUGCAAUUUGUGAGCCUUCUUGGACAGGUGUUAUGCAAAUGAGAAUUUGUUCUCAAGGAUUUUACCUGCUUAAAUAAAGGGAAUGAUUAAUUAGUUAGUAUUUCAUAUGAAUGUUUAGUAAUUAAGCAAAGAAAACACAAUUUUAAAAAAGUACAAUUGCAAAUAGUGUAGUUGCUAUUUGUUUACAAUGGGGGACAACAUCAUUGACUAGAAACAAGUGAUUGACGUCACAACAUACGCUCCUGAUUGGGUAGGCUUUGGGCGGUUUUUCAGGAAGAAGUGGGCAGGUUUUUGUAAAAGUAAUUGGCAGCCAUGUCUAUGUAUGUUGCCAGAGCACAGCUGAAAGGAAAUCAUGAGCCGAUGCGACUAAAACUUUUAGAAUAGAAUGAUCUUUAAGAAAACAAAAAUGAGAAUGAUACCAAAAAAACUAAUUUAUGGGCCAUGAAAGUAUGUAAUAACAGGAAGUGGGAAAAACGAGUAGGCAGUCCCUUGACUGACGACUUUCCAUAUCCUCUUAACGUUUUACACCAAUUUAGCUGUUAAAUACAUUUUCACCAAUAGCCAACAGAGAAAAGAAAACAGUAGCCCAUCAUAGUUUACUGCUAGCGUAUGUUUAAAAAUGCACGGUAUACAACAUUAAUAUAGCAUUUAGAUUUCAAGACCAUUUAGAUUUUAAGACCACUGGGUUAAAUCCAUCCCUGCCAACAAUCACAAGUGGAAUGUGGCCAUUCCCUAAUUGAGUGCUAAUUAGGGAAUGGUCACAUAUAUAAAAAGAGAGAAAACCCUUUGUUUAGUGGUGGUAUGCAUGGAGAAAAGCCAGUGAAGGCGUUGUACAGCCUGGCUUUUGUAAGUGUUUGUGUUCUAUAUAUUCCUUCUUGUUAAACUCUUUAUUUUGGCCCUCUUGCUCUUGUUUGUUUAUUUAUUGUUCUUUUGUUCCCAGUUGGGAUUAAUAAAUGUGCGUUCUAGUGCCUAAACUGCA